Molecule: long non-coding RNA, 3043 nt
Filed under: Homo sapiens (human)
Lineage: Eukaryota; Metazoa; Chordata; Mammalia; Primates; Hominidae
Description: HSALNT0090382
Source: RNAcentral
AUAACUUCCAAUUUAAGGAGAUAUAGGACAAGGCAAGAAGGGUGGAAGAAGGCAUAAGAGAUCCUCACGUGGCAUUAUCAGGAUAAAAUUUGUUAAUGUCCAACUCCCAGUCCUGAUUGCAUUGGAGAAGAAGCCCUCUGUGGAGCCUCCACUCUCAUUAUUCUAUUGAGAUCCAUGGAAUUAGGAAUUCCCAUCCUCAGUUUCUUCUUGGAGGUACAGAGCAGUAGCAUUCCAUGAAGGAGGAACUUCAAAAGAGAUUGUGUAAUUCAAAGUGUGCCGGACCAGUCAAAGAAUCCUGCGUCAAAAUCAAGAGAAUGAACAAGCCUUCAUCGCCAUGGCACAUUUAUAUAAAAAGAAAGGGAGAGAAGUUGGGGGAAGUCAGGGACCCCAAACAGAGGGACUGGCUGAAGCCAUGGCAGAAGAACGUGGAUUGUGAAGAUUUCAUGGACAUUUAUUAGUUCCCCAAAUUAAUACUUUUAUAAUUUCUUAUGCCUGUCUUUACUGCAAUCUCUAAACAAAAAUUGUGAAGAUUUCAUGGACACUUAUCACCUCCCCAAUCAAUACCCUUGUGAUUUCCUAGGCCUGUCUUUACUUUAAUCUCUUAAUCCUGUCAUCUUAUAAGCUAAGGAGGAUGUAUGUUGUCUCAGGACCAUGUGAUAAUUGCGUUAACUGCACAAAUUGUAGAGCAUGUGUGUUUGAACAAAUAUGAAAUCUGGGCACCUUGAAAAAAGAACAGGAUAACAGCAAUUGUUCAGGGAAUAAGAGAGAUAACCUUAAACUCUGACCGCCAGUGAGCCGGGCGGAACAGAGCCAUAUUUCUCUUCUUUCAAAAGCAAAUGGGAGAAAUAUCGCUGAAUUCUUUUUCUCAGCAAGGAACAUCCCUGGGAAAGAGAAAACACACCUGGGGGUAUAGGUCUAUAGAUGGCCCCCCCGGGUGUGGUCGUCUUUUAUGGUCUGUAGACUGUAGGGGUGAAAUAGAUCCCAGUCUCCCAUAGCACUCCCAGGCUUAUUAGGAAGAGGAAAUUCCCGCCUAAUAAAUUUUGGUCAGACCGGUUGCUCUCAAAACUCUGUCUCCUGAUAAGAUGUUAUCAAUGACAAUGGGGCCCGAAACUUCAUUAGCAAUUUUAAUUUCGCCCCGGUCCUGUGGUCCUGUGAUCUUGCCCUGCCUCCAUUUGCCUUGUGAUAGUCUAUUACCUUGUAAAGUACGUGAUCUUUGUGACUGACACCUUAUUCGUACACUCCCUCCCCUUUUGAAAAUCCCUAAUAAAAACUUGCUGGUUUUGUGGCUUGUGGGGCAUCACAGAACCUACGGACAUGUGAUGUCUCCCCUGGAUGACCAGCUUUAAAAUUUCUCUCCUUUGUACUCUGUCCCUUUAUUUCUCAAAUGGGCUGAUGCUUAGGGAAAACAGAAAAGAACCUACGUGACUAUCGGGGUAGGUUCCCUGAUAAGUAUUCUUAGCAGAAGGCACAGCAAGAGCAAAGGCCCCCAGAGUGGAAUGAACUCGGUUUGUGCGGAGACCUGAGAAGCCCUGGUGGCCAGCACACUUGGAACAAGGGGUGGGGCGGCUAUGAGUAGAUACGCCGCGGGGUCCUGGAGGGCUCCCAGGAGCACAGGCACGUCCUGGUGCAGAAGAGGCCUGCAGAGGGCUGCAGGCAGGGCAGAUAUAUGUGAUUUACACGUCAGGAAGAUUCUUUCAGCUGGCUGCUCUGGGAAGGAUAAAUCAGACGGACAGGAGGGAGGCAGGAAGGCUGGCCAAGUGACCAUUUAUAGGGGGGACGUUGCAUCUAGAGGUGUGGUCUUGGGAGCCAGUAAGCAGGAGUUGGAUUCAGAAUGGACUUUGGAGGGAGAGCUCACAGGAUAUACUAUUGGAUUACAUGUAAGGGUGAGAAAAGGAGAGGGUUUUUUGUUAUUCCUGAUGAAAAAUGUAUUUCAUACUCAUUACAGAAAACCUAUAAAUCUUAGGACAGUGUCAUCAGGCUACCUAUUUUAAUGUGUAAACUUAGCUUUUCCUUGAACAAGAAUUCUACCAUUACUGUUAUUCUUUUGAAGAUUUCAAUGUGCCUUAUGAGAGGUUUGGAGGAUUAUUGAAGUUUAAAACAACAAAAAUUGGAGAGAAAAACCCAUUUCACCCUGUUUAAUAUAGAAUUUCCUAAUUGCGUUGGAUCUUAAAAUCUUAUUUGCUUAUUUAUUUUUUUGGAUGGCUGUUUUGUAUAACAUCUAUUACCAUCCCUAUCAAUUACUACCAGAAAACAUGAUCUAAUGCUGCAUCGGAUCUUUCCCCCUUGUUUCUCAAUAUUUUUCUUACAGGUCAAAUUAGAUCCGGAAGUUCCAAGCUCAGACUCAUUUAUGUGGUGCACCAACACAGUUCUCCAUGAAAACUUUAUGGGGAUUUAACCUUGUGUUGGCUUUUAUCCCUUUUCUUAACAUUCUAAAAGGCAAAUGUUGUCUGGUUCUUUGUUUCAUAGGUUUUGUUUGUUUGUUUUUACUGUGUUCCUAAUCUAGAGCUGUUCUAUCUACCAACUAUUCUGAAAAAAAGAGGCAGGGAACUUGUAUAAAAUUAUGUUUAAAAUUGGUAUUGUCUCACAAAUGUCUUUCUCUUCAUGUAGAAAGUGAUAGCCAGAGGAUUAUGACCUAAGCUGAUAGCAUUCCACUAGUACAGAUAAGGAAAACUGAGUUUUAAAGCCAAUAAUGCACAUCUAAGUGUACAGACAAACUCCUUAAUUUAAAUCUAAGCUUGUUUACUUAAUUUGUAAUUUGGGAGCAACAGAAGUGGGUAUUUAGUGAGGGCCCAAAUAUCCCGGAGGGGUAGUAGGACAAAUAUAUAUUUUCUUUGUCCUUGUAUGACUUGGAAUCGUCUAAACUGUCAAGAAAAGAAAAAACAAAAACAUAUUGUUUUCAAUAUUUUGGUCAAAUGUUGGUAAUAAUAAUAAUGAAUUCUUUUAUGCCCUGGCAGCAAUUGGUGCUGUUUAUAUCAUUAAGGUAGACAAAGUGUGCCUUACACUCAGCUUUAAGAUUUUAAUAAAGGAAAAAAUCUGUUGGAAG